RNAcentral lists this long non-coding RNA (610 nucleotides) under Homo sapiens (human). RNAcentral describes it as "HSALNT0078145". The record is from RNAcentral. Lineage: Eukaryota; Metazoa; Chordata; Mammalia; Primates; Hominidae.
UCUCACUGUUCCAGUAGGUAAGAAAACCUAACUUGGGUUACCUGUGUUCUUUGCUCAAAAGACGGAUAUAGAAGUGUUCGCUGAAGCUGCAGUCUUUUCUAAGGUUUGGGUUCCUCGAGCUCACUCGAGUGGUCGGCAGAACUCAUUAAUUGUGGUUGCAGCUUGAGGUCUUUAUUGUUUUCUGAUUGUCUUCUGGGGGUUACUCACAGGCCCCAGAGGCCACCCUUAGAUCGUAGCUACUUGGCUCUCUCACAACAUGACAGUUUACUUUUUCAAAGACAGCAGAAGAGUGUCUCUGCUAUCCAGUGUAAUAAACAGGAGUCUUUGUGGCAUUAUCAUGGGGGUGACUAUAUCAUCAUUUUUGCCAUAUGAAGGGACGAUCAAGGGAGGUGCUAUCAUAUUAUAUUAACAGCUUCCCCCAUAUUCAAAAAGAGGAAAUUUAACACGUACAAGGCUCUUGUGGAACAAUGAGAAAUCAGAGAAAGAACAAGAGGUCAUCUGCAGCCAAACCUGGUCAGAAGGAUUAUAGAACAUUUUAUCUUUCUUUUGUUCCCUCAAUCCUAUUGUCAUCAUUCAAUUAGAAGUAUUAUUUUGAAUAGCUUUAAUAGAA